GUAGGUGGCAAGCGUUGUCCGGAAUUAUUGGGCGUAAAGCGCGCGCAGGUGGGUUCUUUAAGUCUGAUGUGAAAGCCCCCGGGCUCAACCGGGGAGGGUCAUUGGAAACUGGGGAACUUGAGUGCGGGAGAGGAAAGUGGAAUUCCACGUGUAGCGGUGAAAUGCGUAGAUAUGUGGAGGAACACCAGUGGCGAAGGCGACUUUCUGGCCUGUAACUGACACUGAGGCGCGAAAGCGUGGGGAGCAAACAGGAUUAGAUACCCUGGUAGUCCACGCCGUAAACGAUGAGUGCUAAGUGUUGGGGGGUUUCCGCCCCUCAGUGCUGCAGCUAACGCAUUAAGCACUCCGCCUGGGGAGUACGGUCGCAAAGACUG
Molecule: ribosomal RNA, 374 nt
Filed under: uncultured organism
Description: partial 16S ribosomal RNA
Rfam family: Bacterial small subunit ribosomal RNA
Source: RNAcentral